Molecule: long non-coding RNA, 517 nt
Filed under: Bos taurus (domestic cattle)
Lineage: Eukaryota; Metazoa; Chordata; Mammalia; Artiodactyla; Bovidae
Description: long non-coding RNA NONBTAT027035
Source: RNAcentral
GACAGCAUCCCUGCGGGCUUUCCUGUUUCAGUUCCGGCAGCCCUUGGUCAGUGGCCUCUCACCGUCAGGAGCAGCCCGUACAUCAGCAGCAGGGUGGCCGCCAGCAACAAGCUCGUGCUCUCCAGCAACCACAUCAGCACAGUCAUCAGCCUCUUGGGGGAGACGGACAUCCACUACGUGCAGGAGCCUGUGGACGACACACCUACUUCGCAGCUCGACACCGCCCCCCCCACCCCGCCCCCAGCAGACCGCAUCACAAGGUGGAGAGGAAGCAGGGCCGUACCCUGCCACAAUGUGCUGUUGGCUGAGCCCCUCUGCCACCCUCUGUCUCGCCUAUCUCCUGAAGUACCAGGCCAUGUCCCUGCUGGACACGCACACAUGGACCAAGUCCUGCCAGCUCAUCCUCCAGCCCAAAAAUGGCUUUUGGGAACAGCUCAUCUACCAUGAGUUCCCGCUGUUUGGCAAGAACACCAUGACCAUGGUCACUUCCCCCAUGGACAUGAUCCCUGACGUCUAG